Molecule: ribosomal RNA, 495 nt
Filed under: Tanna japonensis
Lineage: Eukaryota; Metazoa; Arthropoda; Insecta; Hemiptera; Cicadidae
Description: partial 16S ribosomal RNA
Source: RNAcentral
GUCUUUUAGAAAAAAAUUAAAAGUCUAAUCUGCCCAAUGAUAAAAUAAAUGGCCGCAGUAAACUGACUGUGCAAAGGUAGCAUAAUAAUUAGUCUUUUAAUUGAAGGCUUGUAUGAAUGAUUGAAUGAAAAAUUAACUUUAUUAAUAUAAUAAUUAAAACUUAAUUUUUAAGUUAAAAAGCUUAAAUAGAUAAGUUGGACGAGAAGACCCUAUAGAGUUUAAAAAAUAUUUUAUAUAUUUUAUAUUAGUAUUAAUAAUAUAAUUAUAUAUAAUAUUUUUUUUGUUGGGGUGACAUUAUAAAAAAUAUAACUUUUAAUAUAUUAAACAUUUAUUUAUGUAUAAAAAACUGAUCCAAAUAUAUAAAUAUUGAUUAUAAGAAUAAAUUACCUUAGGGAUAACAGCGUAAUUAUUUUUUAGAGUUCACAUUAAUAAAAUAGUUUGCGACCUCGAUGUUGGAUUAAGAAAAUAAUUUAGAGCAAAAUCUAGAUAUUAGGU